This 506-nucleotide ribosomal RNA is filed under the name uncultured bacterium. RNAcentral describes it as "partial 16S ribosomal RNA". It matches the Rfam family "Bacterial small subunit ribosomal RNA", at positions 28 to 523 of the family's 1533-position model. The record is from RNAcentral.
GAUGAACGCUAGCGGCAGGCCUAACACAUGCAAGUCGAGGGGCAGCACAUAAAGUGGUUUACUACUUUUGGUGGCGACCGGCGGACGGGUGCGUAACGCGUAUGCAACCUGCCUCCAACAGGGGGAUAACGGAGAGAAAUUUCCACUAAUACUCCAUAAUAUCAGAAUCGGCAUCGGUUUUGGUUGAAAACUCCGGUGUGUGGAGAUGGGCAUGCGUUGUAUUAGAUAGUUGGUGAGGUAACGGCUCACCAAGUCAACGAUACAUAGGGGGACUGAGAGGUUAGCCCCCCACACUGGUACUGAGGCACGGACCAGACUCCUACGGGAGGCAGCAGUGAGGAAUAUUGGUCAAUGGGGGCAACCCUGAACCAGCCAUGCCGCGUGCAGGAAGACGGCUCUAUGAGUUGUAAACUGCUUUUACAAGGGGAUAAAUCGGUGUACGUGUACACCGUUGAAGGUACCUUGGGAAUAAGGAUCGGCUAACUCCGUGCCAGCCGCCGCAGUAA